UACGAAGGGGGCUAGCGUUGUUCGGAUUUACUGGGCGUAAAGCGCACGUAGGCGGAUCGUUAAGUCGGGGGUGAAAUCCUGGAGCUCAACUCCAGAACUGCCUUCGAUACUGGCGAUCUAGAGUCCGGAAGAGGUGAGUGGAACUCCUAGUGUAGAGGUGGAAUUCGUAGAUAUUAGGAAGAACACCAGUGGCGAAGGCGGCUCACUGGCCCGAUACUGACGCUGAGGCACGAAAGCGUGGGGAGCAAACAGG
Molecule: ribosomal RNA, 253 nt
Filed under: uncultured bacterium
Lineage: Bacteria
Description: partial 16S ribosomal RNA
Rfam family: Bacterial small subunit ribosomal RNA
Source: RNAcentral